Molecule: ribosomal RNA, 343 nt
Filed under: uncultured bacterium
Lineage: Bacteria
Description: bacterial SSU rRNA
Rfam family: Bacterial small subunit ribosomal RNA
Source: RNAcentral
GAUGAACGCUGGCGGCGUGCCUAACACAUGCAAGUCGAGCGCGAUUAAGUGGAGUGGAGACUUCGGUCAAAGUGAAGCUUAUGAAAGCGGCGGACGGGUGAGUAACGCGUGGGCAACCUGCCCCAUACAGAGGGAUAGCCACUGGAAACGGUGAUUAAUACCUCAUAAGUCAGUAGCAUCGCAUGAUGUAGCUGACAAAGNUUUANCGGUAUGGGAUGGGCCCGCGUCUGAUUAGCUAGUUGGUGAGGUAACGGCUCACCAAGGCGACGAUCAGUAGCCGACCUGAGAGGGUGAUCGGCCACACUGGAACUGAGACACGGGUCCAGGACUCCUACGGGAGGCA